CCUACGGGAGGCAGCAGUGAGGAAUAUUGGUCAAUGGACGCAAGUCUGAACCAGCCAAGUAGCGUGCAGGAUGACGGCCCUAUGAGUUGUAAACUUCUUUUGUAAGGGGGUAAAAUGAGGCACGCGUACCUUUUUGCAAGUACUUUAUGAAUAAGGAUCGGCUAACUCCGUGCCAGCAGCCGCGGUAAUACGGAGGAUUCGAGCGUUAUCCGGAUUUAUUGGGUUUAAAGGGUGCGUAGGGGGGCGGCUAAGUUAGUUGUGAAAUUCUGAGGCUCAACCUCGGAAUUGCAUUUGAUACUGGUCGGCUAGAGAGUAGUUGAGGUAGGCGGAAUGCGUGGUGUAGCGGUGAAAUGCUUAGAUAUCACGCAGAACUCCGAUUGCGAAGGCAGCUUACCAAGCUGCUACUGACGUUGAGGCACGAAAGCGUGGGGAGCAAACAGGAUUAGAUACCCGUGUAGUC
Molecule: ribosomal RNA, 460 nt
Filed under: uncultured bacterium
Lineage: Bacteria
Description: partial 16S ribosomal RNA
Rfam family: Bacterial small subunit ribosomal RNA
Source: RNAcentral